AGUGAACGCUGGCGGUAGGCUUAACACAUGCAAGUCGAACGGAAGCACAGUAAGAGCUUGCUCUUACGGGUGGCGAGUGGCGGAAGGGAGAGGAAUACAUCGGAAUCUAGUUUUUCGUGGAGGAUAACGUAGGGAAACUUACGCUAAUCCCGCAUACCACAUACGGGGGAAAGCAGGGGAUCUUCGGACCUUGCGCGAUUGAAUGAGCCGAUGUCGGAUUAGCUAGUUGGCGGGGUAAAGGCCCACCAAGGCGACGAUCCGUAGCUGGUCUGAGAGGAUGAUCAGCCACACUGGAACUGGGACACGCACCAUACUCCUUCGGGAAGCAGCAGUCGGUAAUAUUAGUCAACGGGCGCAAACCUGGCCCAACAGUACCGCGUGUGUGAAGCACACCUUCGGGUUGUAAAGCCCCUUUGUGGGUAAAGAAAAGCUGCAGGCUAAUACCAAGCUGUUCUGACGGUACCCGAUGAAUAAGCACCGGCUAACUUCGUG
Molecule: ribosomal RNA, 492 nt
Filed under: uncultured bacterium
Lineage: Bacteria
Description: partial 16S ribosomal RNA
Rfam family: Bacterial small subunit ribosomal RNA
Source: RNAcentral